GACGAACGCUGGCGGCGUGCUUAACACAUGCAAGUCGAACGGUGAAAGCGGAGCUUGCUCCGCUGGAUCAGUGGCGAACGGGUGAGUAACACGUGGGCAACCUGCCCCUCACUUCGGGAUAACUCCGGGAAACCGGGGCUAAUACCGGAUAUGACCUCCUUGGGCAUCCUUGGAGGUGGAAAGUUUUUCGGUGAGGGAUGGGCCCGCGGCCUAUCAGCUUGUUGGUGAGGUAGUGGCUCACCAAGGCGACGACGGGUAGCCGGCCUGAGAGGGCGAGCGGCCACACUGGGACUGAGACACGGCCCAGACUCCUACGGGAGGAAGCAGUGGGGAAUAUUGCGCAAUGGGCGGAAGCCUGACGCAGCAACGCCGCGUGCGGGAUGACGGCCUUCGGGUUGUAAACCGCUUUCAGCAGGGAAGAAGCCGCAAGGUGACGGUACCUGCAGAAGAAGCACCGGCUAACUACGUGCCAGCCGCCGCGGUAA
This 485-nucleotide ribosomal RNA is filed under the name uncultured bacterium. RNAcentral describes it as "partial 16S ribosomal RNA". It matches the Rfam family "Bacterial small subunit ribosomal RNA", at positions 28 to 523 of the family's 1533-position model. The record is from RNAcentral.